RNAcentral lists this ribosomal RNA (360 nucleotides) under uncultured bacterium. Its description in RNAcentral is "bacterial SSU rRNA". It matches the Rfam family "Bacterial small subunit ribosomal RNA", at positions 8 to 394 of the family's 1533-position model. The record is from RNAcentral.
AGAGUUUGAUCCUGGCUCAGAGCGAACGCUGGCGGCAGGCUUAACACAUGCAAGUCGAACGGGCGUAGCAAUACGUCAGUGGCAGACGGGCGAGUAACACGUGGGAACGUACCUUUUGGUUCGGAACAACUGAGGGAAACUUCAGCUAAUACCGGAUAAGCCCUUACGGGGAAAGAUUUAUCGCCGAAAGAUCGGCCCGCGUCUGAUUAGCUAGUUGGUGAGGUAAUGGCUCACCAAGGCGACGAUCAGUAGCUGGUCUGAGAGGAUGAUCAGCCACAUUGGGACUGAGACACGGCCCAAACUCCUACGGGAGGCAGCAGUGGGGAAUAUUGGACAAUGGGCGCAAGCCUGAUCCAGCCA